UGGGGAAUUUUGGACAAUGGGGGCAACCCUGAUCCAGCAAUGCCGCGUGUGUGAAGAAGGCCUUCGGGUUGUAAAGCACUUUUGUCCGGAAAGAAAACUUCGUCCCUAAUAUGGAUGGAGGAUGACGGUACCGGAAGAAUAAGCACCGGCUAACUACGUGCCAGCAGCCGCGGUAAUACGUAGGGUGCGAGCGUUAAUCGGAAUUACUGGGCGUAAAGCGUGCGCAGGCGGUCUGUUAAGACCGAUGUGAAAUCCCCGGGCUUAACCUGGGAACUGCAUUGGUGACUGGCAGGCUAGAGUGUGGCAGAGGGGGGUAGAAUUCCACGUGUAGCAGUGAAAUGCGUAGAGAUGUGGAGGAAUACCGAUGGCGAAGGCAGCCCCCUGGGCUAACACUGACGCUCAUGCACGAAAGCGUGGGGAGCAAACA
Molecule: ribosomal RNA, 427 nt
Filed under: uncultured Burkholderiaceae bacterium
Lineage: Bacteria; Pseudomonadati; Pseudomonadota; Betaproteobacteria; Burkholderiales; Burkholderiaceae
Description: bacterial SSU rRNA
Rfam family: Bacterial small subunit ribosomal RNA
Source: RNAcentral